RNAcentral lists this ribosomal RNA (511 nucleotides) under Streptomyces mutabilis. Its description in RNAcentral is "bacterial SSU rRNA". It matches the Rfam family "Bacterial small subunit ribosomal RNA", at positions 108 to 632 of the family's 1533-position model. Lineage: Bacteria; Bacillati; Actinomycetota; Actinomycetes; Kitasatosporales; Streptomycetaceae. The record is from RNAcentral.
GAGUAACACGUGGGCAAUCUGCCCUGCACUCUGGGACAAGCCCUGGAAACGGGGUCUAAUACCGGAUACUGAUCCUCGUAGGCAUCUGCGAGGUUCGAAAGCUCCGGCGGUGCAGGAUGAGCCCGCGGCCUAUCAGCUUGUUGGUGAGGUAAUGGCUCACCAAGGCGACGACGGGUAGCCGGCCUGAGAGGGCGACCGGCCACACUGGGACUGAGACACGGCCCAGACUCCUACGGGAGGCAGCAGUGGGGAAUAUUGCACAAUGGGCGAAAGCCUGAUGCAGCGACGCCGCGUGAGGGAUGACGGCCUUCGGGUUGUAAACCUCUUUCAGCAGGGAAGAAGCGAAAGUGACGGUACCUGCAGAAGAAGCGCCGGCUAACUACGUGCCAGCAGCCGCGGUAAUACGUAGGGCGCAAGCGUUGUCCGGAAUUAUUGGGCGUAAAGAGCUCGUAGGCGGCUUGUCACGUCGGUUGUGAAAGCCCGGGGCUUAACCCCGGGUCUGCAGUCGAUA